GGCGCUAUAGCCAAGUGGUUACGGCGACAGAUUCGAACACAACAAUCUGUUCCUCUUUGAGGGCGCAGGUUCAAAUCCUGCUGGCGUCG
This is a non-coding RNA of Termitomyces sp. Mi166#008, 89 nucleotides long. The record is from the annotation of a GenBank genome assembly. Lineage: Eukaryota; Fungi; Basidiomycota; Agaricomycetes; Agaricales; Lyophyllaceae.